Manacus vitellinus (golden-collared manakin) is the source of this 958-nucleotide long non-coding RNA. RefSeq lists it as uncharacterized. NCBI's taxonomy places the organism in Eukaryota, Metazoa, Chordata, Aves, Passeriformes, Pipridae. The record is from RefSeq and is a predicted model, not a curated record. The transcript has 3 exons.
GCUCUCCUCGUGCUUCAGAUGUACCAUUCAGCUUCCUUGUUGCUUUUACUCCUCCAAGUAAUAUUUUGGAAUAGUUCUAAUUAUACAGCAUACUUAGAUUUCACACACCAUUAUUAGCAAAUACAUGUUUACUCUGGCUUUCCUCGUUUCAGCUGAAUCUGUGAGCUAUAUCCCACGUAAUAACUUCGACUGAAAAAUACUUGGAUCCAUUCUGUGCUAAGGUGAAUUUAUUAUCCUUUUUUGUCAUUAGGGACAAAUUCUUCUACACCUUUAGGUCUGAGUUUUCAGAGGACUACAGCUCCCAUGAUCCCCAAGAAGAACUGGACCUGAGCUUCAACAGCGAUGCACUUUGGGAAGAGGAGGAAGUACACAAAAAAAAUUCCCUUGCUUAAGCAAGAGAAGUAAAGUUUGAAGAUACAAGACCUUGGAUGAAGCUCCUGUCAGCAGCUGAGUCUGAUCAAGCACUGUGUGCAUCUGACAGCCAGCUUGGCACCACCUCACCACAUGCAGCAACUGGGCUCCAAUGGAUUUCAUGUGCAAGGCCAAGGGAUGGUGAAGGUGGCCCUUCCUCUGCUAAGCUGCUGCUGGGAGACAGGGGAGCUGGACCCCUCUGCCGUUGCAUCCCACCGUGAGGACUCCAGGCUCCAGGGUGAGGGGUGUCAGGAGAGGAAGCCCCCAGCGAGUCAGUGACCACGGGUGCUGCUGUCCUGGUGCUCCUCCAACAGCCCUUCCAGCAGGGCACUGGCCCUGCUGCUGCCCCUCUUCAGCUUGGAGGAAAUGUUUGCCAGUGACUCAGGGAACAGGGGCUGGAGCUUUAGGGAUAAACUCUUUUUUCACAGGCAAAUGAGUGAGAAGUGUUUCCAACAAAUGGGCAUACAUACAGUUGUCCUGCUACUGGAGAUAUCGGAAAUGUCCCUUAUAAUAGCCCUUAAAGUAAAAUGGAAGGAAAUUUCAAGCA